RNAcentral lists this ribosomal RNA (496 nucleotides) under uncultured bacterium. RNAcentral describes it as "partial 16S ribosomal RNA". It matches the Rfam family "Bacterial small subunit ribosomal RNA", at positions 28 to 506 of the family's 1533-position model. The record is from RNAcentral.
GAUGAACGCUGGCGGCGUGCCUAAUACAUGCAAGUCGAGCGAACGGACGAGAAGCUUGCUUCUCUGAUGUUAGCGGCGGACGGGUGAGUAACACGUGGAUAACCUACCUAUAAGACUGGGAUAACUUCGGGAAACCGUAGCUAAUACCGGAUAAUAUUUUGAACCGCAUGGUUCAAAAGUGAAAGACGGUCUUGCUGUCACUUAUAGAUGGAUCCGCGCUGCAUUAGCUAGUUGGUAAGGUAACGGCUUACCAAGGCAACGAUGCAUAGCCGACCUGAGAGGGUGAUCGGCCACACUGGAACUGAGACACGGUCCAGACUCCUACGGGAGGCAGCAGUAGGGAAUCUGCCGCAAUGGGCGAAAGCCUGACGGAGCAACGCCGCGUGAGUGAUGAAGGUCUUCGGAUCGUAAAACUCUGUUAUUAGGGAAGAACAUAUGUGUAAGUAACUGUGCACAUCUUGACGGUACCUAAGCAGAAAGCCACGGCUAACUACGU